RNAcentral lists this ribosomal RNA (801 nucleotides) under uncultured bacterium. RNAcentral describes it as "bacterial SSU rRNA". It matches the Rfam family "Bacterial small subunit ribosomal RNA", at positions 59 to 867 of the family's 1533-position model. The record is from RNAcentral.
CAGUCGACGGACUUAACCGAAGUAUUUAUAUUUUGGAGCGGUUAGUGGCGGACUGGUGAGUAACACGUAAGCAACCUGCCUAUUAGAGGGGAAUAACAGUGAGAAAUCAUUGCUAAUACCGCAUAUGCUGUGAGUAUCGCAUGAUACAAACAGGAAAGGAGCAAUCCGCUAAUAGAUGGGCUUGCGUCUGAUUAGAUAGUUGGUGGGGUAAAGGCCUACCAAGUCGACGAUCAGUAGCCGAACUGAGAGGUUGAACGGCCACAUUGGGACUGAGAUACGGCCCAGACUCCUACGGGAGGCAGCAGUCGGGAAUAUUGCACAAUGGAGGAAACUCUGAUGCAGUGACGCCGCGUGCAGGAAGAAGGUUUUCGGAUUGUAAACUGCUUUAGACAGGGAAGAAACAAGACAGUACCUGUAGAAUAAGCUCCGGCUAACUACGUGCCAGCAGCCGCGGUAAUACGUAGGGAGCAAGCGUUAUCCGGAUUUAUUGGGUGUAAAGGGUGCGUAGACGGGAAUUUAAGUUAGUUGUGAAAUCCCUCGGCUUAACUGAGGAACUGCAACUAAAACUGAAUUUCUUGAGUGCGGGAGAGGAAAGUGGAAUUCCUAGUGUAGCGGUGAAAUGCGUAGAUAUUAGGAGGAACACCAGUGGCGAAGGCGACUUUCUGGACCGUAACUGACGUUGAGGCACGAAAGUGUGGGGAGCAAACAGGAUUAGAUACCCUGGUAGUCCACACUGUAAACGAUGGAUACUAGGUGUAGGGAAUAUUAAGUUUUCUGUGCCGUCGCAAACGCAAUAAGUAU